CCCCAGCUGCUCUCCAUCCUGCACAUCUGGUUCCGCUUCCUCCCUCCCGGGGAAGUGAAAGUGGAGGGGAAGGCGCAACCGGGAGCCAGCUAGCGGUGGCGGGCACCCCGCAUCCCACUGCCCCCGCGGGUGCCGGAGCAAGAGCACCCCGCCCUCCUGCUCGGGUCACGCGGCGGCCGGCGCUGCUGCCGUCACGUCCUCGGCCCCGGCGCGCCGGCUUUUCGGUGCCCUCCAGCUCCCUGCUCAGCCACCUCCCCCUCCGCGCGCCCUCUGCCCCAGCCCGACUUCCCGUUGCCCGGCAUGUGGGCGUUGGAGACCCGAGUGGCCCCUGUUCCCGUGGCUCCACUUAGGGAGAAAGGGUGACCCUCCGCAGGACUCCCCCGGUCGGGUCCGGGGAAUCCCUGCGCGUGCUCAGCGCUUGGGGGGGGCAUCCGCUCGCCGCUCCGACUGUCCCACCUAACUGCCUCUGCCUGUGCCUUGGGCAUGGGGCUCCCGCUCGCCUGCACUAGGUGAGGGGGGGGUGCCCCAGAGUUAAAUCUGGAGGCUGAUGCGGACUCCUGGCUUCACCUCCCAGACGUGGAGGCUAAAUUUAGCUGGAGUUGGGGCGUGUGUGUCCAGGAGCCAGCCUGGCCCCGGGAGACUCCUUUGCUCUCUCCAGUUAGUUCUCUGGGCCAAGAGUGGGAGAUAAAGUAGAACUGUUCAUCCCGGAGCCAUGGAAUCUCCUCGGCCUUGCUCAGGCCCCUUUGGUCUGAAGUUCGGACUUGGCUUGAUGCUGCGCUGGCACCUUCAGCAGAACCCCCCGCCCCACGGCGCCGCCACACACACCCAUAGGCUGACUUCUGCUGAGCUGCAGCUUCCCCUCCGCCGUUUCAGGAAGUAACCUCCCUUCCCCUCUGAAGCACUCCCCCACACCUCCCAGCCCCUGAUGCAAACCACCCACCAGGCUCUUCCCAGCGUCUGCACCCUGGGGCGUCUCAGGAACCUUGGGGCUCCUACUCCCUGGGGCGGGCCAUGGAGGCAGGUGAGGAAACAGUUACUGAAAGGCUGUUGUGGGCCUAAUUCUGUCUCGGCUCGGGCUCCGGGGCUCUGUGGCAGAGGGCGAGGGACUGCGGGAACCCGUCUCCCACAGUCACUUUAGACCUAACUGGAGACAUCUAAGGAUCCUGUGGGUGGGAGGGCACUGUGGCUGCGCCAGGCUGGUGGAGUUAAGGAAAGGCACUAAAGCUUGGGUUUUGUGAGGUUUCCCAGAAUCCUGUGGGAGUGGGCCCUUUUGGAGUGUCAACUGGGUCAGGAGGUCCUUAGGAUGUCAUAACUAGAGCAGAAAGCCAGAAACCCUUAAAAAAGACUAAGGUUGGUGUGACGUGGCCAGAAUCAAUGGUGUCAUUGCAGGUCAUUACAGGAAAUAGUGUGAUCUCUGGUGUUCUAACCAGGCAGGUAGUGGGGAGGGGUGGGGCCUUGGAAGGCAUACACGAGCAACAUGGUGUCAGAGCCCAGGCUAGCGGUCUGAGGUGGAGUUUGGUUCUUUGGGGAGAGAACUGCCAAGUGGGAGGAACCUGGUCUUUUUAAGGAGCUGUGGUGGGCUCUGAGCGCCUGGGGAUGUGAGAGGUGGGAAUGACUGACCUUAUCCCAUCUUCUUUUGGAAGGAUUAGGAACCGGAGGGGACUGAAGGGAGGGGGUAGCACUCUGUUGCCGUGGCAACACCGGUUUCCCUUGCUCCAUCUCUCCCCCACUUGCCCAUUCCAGAUGCAGUGAGUGAGGGGGGGGCCAUGGCUGAGGAGCGGCCCCCCCGGCUGGUGGAUUACUUCGUGGUUGCUGGGCUUGCGGGGAAUGGAGCACCUAUCCCUGAGGAAACAUGGGUUCCUGAGCCCAGUGGACCCCUGCGCCCUUCCCGGCCAGCUGAGCCCAUCACCGAUGUGGCAGUCAUUGCUAGGGCACUGGGCGAGGAGGUGCCCCAGGGCUAUACAUGCAUCCAGGCUUCUGCUGGGGGCCACCCCUUGGAAUUCAGUGCUGGGCUCCUGGGUGGAACUCAGCCUGUCAUCUGCUACCGCAGAGGCCGGGACAAACCCCCCCUUGUGGAGUUGGGGUAUGUGCCUCCUACGCAUGCUGGCCCCAGGGGAGCUGGGAGGGACUAUGAGUUAGAGCCAAGUCAAGGUAGGGGUGUGGGAUGAGGGGAGGGCCAGAGGCCAGGGAGGAGGGGCUGAAGUUGUCAGUGCUUGGUCUCAGGUUGUCUCAGGUUGGGUUUGCAUGCCCGUGCUGCUGCCACCUAGCCCUUUGGUCUUGGGCAGGUUAUAAAGCCCCACCAAUGAGGAUAAUAGUCCCUCGUAGGAUGCUUGAUAAGAUUGAGUGGAGUAAGACCCCUGAGGGAUUCAGCACGUCAGUGACUUCUUAGUGUCUGUUCAUGAGAGAGAGAGUCGCGGAAGGCAUGUGGGUUGUUACUGACUGACAAGUAGGGUCAAGGGCAAAGAGGGGCUAUGGGAUUCUGAGUUCAGCAAGCAGAGGUGGGCCCGGUAUUGGGUUUGACAAGGCUGAGUGUGCAGGGCAGUUUCCACUAGGUAGGCAGAUCUGACAGGAUUGGGGUCUUUCUCCUCGGUCCUGUCCUCUUGACAUUUCUCUGUUUUCUGUGCCCAGGGUGUUAUAUGAGGGCAAGGAACGUCCCAAGCCUGGCUUCCAAGUGCUUGAUACUACACCGUACAGCCACUCAGCCAACCUGGCCCCUCCAGGCCCCGGGCAUCCCCGCACCUACCUCACUUAUAGGCGGGCAGCAGAGGGGGCAGGACUGCAUGCCCUGGGCAUCACUGACCUCUGCCUGGUCCUGCCCAGCAAGGGUGAGGGCACGCCUCAUACUUACUGCCGGUUGCCCCGCAACCUCAACCCUGGCAUGGUGAGUGGGGCUGUGGAGCUGAGAGCUGAGACCUGGGCCCUUGGUGUGAGGGUGUGGAACUGGGCCCAAGGGUAUAAAGGGGCCAGGGGCAGGCCAGACGGGUGAUAGGGCUUGAGGGCUUGUGAUUAGAGGCAGCUCAGAAGAUCAUUUGGGGGUAGUAGAGAGAAAGUGGACCCCAGAAACCUUUGGUAGCUGUGUGUUUGCUUGUUUCUUGCCAUCGGGGGCAGUGGGGCCCAGCAGUGUACCUGUGCUUCAAGGUGGGCCUGGCCAAAGCCAACACACUGGUGUAUGAGGCAGGUGAGUGGCCCCUUUGUCCCUCCUAGCCUUUGACCCUUCGUGUCCCUCUGCCCUUGGUGCCUCUUGGCUGAUUCCUUCAAGUGUUCCCUAGAAUUCAUUUCCCUUUUGCUGCUUGGCCUUCUCUGGGAUCCCCUGGCUCCUCUCCCUGAAGUCUGAUGGACACCCCUCCUUUUGGGUACUCCUCACUCUGCUUGGGUGCAGAGCUGCUGGGCCGCUACCCAGAGGAGGACAAUGAGGCUUUCCCGCUGCCCGAGUCAGUGCCAGUCUUCUGCCUGCCCAUGGGGGCCACUAUCGAGUGCUGGCCCUCCCAGACCAAGUACCCCGUGCCCGUCUUCUCCACCUUUGUACUCACGGGUGCCGCUGGCGAUAAGGUAGGUGUGGGGCCUGUGGUAAGGGUCUGGGCCAUGCAGAGCCUGCCUGACCGUCCCUCUGUCCCCUGCCAGGUGUAUGGUGCCGCCCUGCAGUUCUAUGAGGCCUUUCCAAGGGCCAGGCUGUCAGAGCGGCAGGCGCGGGCACUGGGCCUGUUGAGUGCCGUGGAACGGGGCCGGGCGCUGGGCGGCCGUGCGGUGCGCAGCCGGCGGGCCAUCGCCGUGCUAUCCCACUGGCCUGCCUUUCCAGCCUUCAGAGCCUUCCUCACCUUCCUUUACCGCUACUCCGUCUCCGGCCCCCACCGCCUGCCCUUGGAAGCGUGAGCAUGGCUACCCUGCCACUGGGGAGGAGUGAGGAGGGUGCAGGGAGGCGGGAAAGAUUAGCAUGGAGAUGGGAGUGGGCUGGGCACGGGGAGGGGCCGGCCGGAGUGUGGGGUUGUACAGUGUGGCCAUUGGAAAAAACUGUCACCGGAGGAGGAGACGGACAGCCUGAAAUCCAGUCUGUCCUGCUGGUUGGGCCUGGCGAGGGCUGCGUGUGAUUUGCACAAGUCUGUUGAACAAGAGAGGCUGGGUGGCUGAUGCAGGCCUUGAAGUGGGGUUCAGGGAGGAAUAAGAUUCUUUUUUUUUUUUCCUAUGAAAUUAAAUUUUUUAAGUGAUUAUUUUUAGUUGUAUAUUUCACUUAUUCAUUUUUAGGUGGUGCUGAGGAUGGAACCCAGGGUCUCGCAUGUGGGAGGCCAGCCUCUGCCGCUGAGCCCCACCCGCCCUGUUCUUAGUUCUGGGUAGCAGUGGGGUAGGACUAGGGCUCUUAGGAGAGGAGAGGGAGAGGGACACGGGGUGGAGGAGGACGGGUGGACGGCGUGUGCCUCACCUGCUCCCUCUCUCCCCAGGCACAUCUCCCACUUCAUUCACAACGUGCCCUUCCCUUCCCCACAGAGACCCCGCAUCUUAGUGCAGGUAAGGGCCAGGGCUGGGCUGGACGGACGGAGAGGAGCAGGCCUGUCACCAACACUGACCUCUGGCUUUUCGGCCCCCUAGAUGUCUCCCUAUGACAACCUGCUCCUCUGUCAGCCUGUGUCCUCACCCUUGCCCCUCAGGUAUGUGCCCGGGUUUGGGGGAGGGGGUCUUUGAUGACUGAGGACAUGGUAGGUGCCGGGGGCAGUUGUUGAGGUCCUUGCAGGCUGGACCCCAGCGGUGUCCCUGCCUGGUUCCUGGGGAAGAGUCUCCAGGGCCUGCUGGUGACGCACCCCCACCCUCGCAUUGCCUGCAGCGGCGCCAGCUUCCUGCAGCUGCUGCAGAGCCUGGGCCCUGAGCUGGCUGUCACGCUGCUGAUGGCUGUGCUCACAGAGCACAAGUUGCUGGUCCACUCGCUGAGGCCAGACCUGCUCACGAGCGUCUGUGAGGCCCUCGUCUCAGUGAGUACCACCUGUCCGCCCACUCUUCUGGAUUUGUCCCCUUACUUUUCCUUCCUUGAGGAGGUUCUCAGUCCCUUUCCCUGGGUACAGACUUUCGGGACAAACAAGCACCAUUUCCCCAGGGCCAGUGCCCUCUCCGCUCCUGUGUCCCUCCCUGCUGCCCCGGCCCCUGUUCACUGCUCCUCUCUGGGCUUCAGAUGAUCUUCCCGCUGCACUGGCAGUGCCCCUACAUUCCGCUGUGCCCCCUGGUGCUGGCAGACGUGCUGAGCGCCCCCGUGCCCUUCAUCGUGGGCAUCCACUCCAGCUACUUUGAUCUGCAUGACCCUCCUGCCGACGUCAUCUGUGUCGAUCUCGAUACUAACACGCUCUUCCAGUAAGAGGCUGGGUCUCACGGGGACGGGAGGCUAGCUCGCAGGAGCCCACGUGUGAGCUGCUAUGGCUCCAGGCCUGAGGCGAAGGGGGGAGGAGCAUGUGAGGAGCCCUGUCGUUCUUUUUCUCCUGUUUAUCUCCUAGGACAGAGGAAAAGAAGCUCCUCUCCCCUCGGACCCUGCCCCGCAGACCCUACAAAGUUCUGCUGGCCACACUAACAACCCUGUACCAGCAACUGGACCAGAGUGAGAAGACUGGGUGGGGGUGGGAGGCUGGGACUGUCAUUGGGCUCCCGCCUCUAGUGUGGGGAAGGCUGGGGGGGCUAGACAUUCCUUGAGGAGGUUAGAGGAGUCAGGAUCUGGUGGUAGUCAGGGGGUUCUGCUUCCAACAGAAGCCAGAGGGAAGGAAGCUGGGUGCCACGGGGCAUGCCUGUAAUCCCAGUGAGUUGGGAGGCUGAGGCUCACAAGUUUAAGGCCAGCCUCAGCAAGUUAGUAAGAGAGACCCUCAGCACCUUAGUAGACCCUGUCUCUAAAUCAAAAAUAAAAUAGGACUGAGCUGCACCCUUAAGCUCAAUCUCCAGUACAGCAUUCCCGAACACAUCCCAGGGGGCUGGGGAUGGAACAGGUGUCAGUGUGAAGGAUGGGGUGGGCAAGCACUGUGGGUGCUGACUCCGACUCUGGGCAUCGCUUCCCAGCGUACACUGGACCUGAGGAGGAGGCAUCCCUGGAAUUCCUGUUGACGGACUAUGAGGCUGUCUGCGGCCGCCGCGCCCGCUUGGAGCGGGAAGUCCAGGGAGCCUUCCUGCGCUUCAUGACCUGCCUGCUCAAGGGCUACCGGGACUUCCUGCGCCCCCUCACCCAGGCCCCUUCUGAGGGGGCUCGUGACGUUGACAACCUUUUCUACCUUCAGGGUAACGUGAGCCUGUCUCUGCUUAGAAAGGGUAUCAUGGGAGGGGUGGCCUGGGGACUGCCAGGUUUCUCAUUCCCUCACUCAGUGUUUUGGUGGCACCUGCUUGAGCCAUCCACUCUUAAGGUCUUGGAGGAAGUAAGGGUACAAAGAUGAGGCAGAUGGGGCCCCGCUCUCUGGGAGCCCUGGGCAUAGAGUGGACACAAUGACCUUUGUGAGCAGCCCCCAUGGGCAAAGCUCUGUUGAGGGACCUGUCCUUGGAGAGCCCUCAGCGUAUGACGGUGGGUGCAGGUAAACAAAAGGAAGGACUCUGGGGGCCCUGGUGCUAGAGGGAGCUGAGCUGGUCCCUCUGUGUGUCAGGGGUAUGUGUCAGUGGGCCGAGAGUUGACGACCUCCGUGAGCAUGGCUCCUGAGAAAGCAGAGGGCCAAGAAUAGGGCAGGGCAGGAUGGCUGCAGGAGAGAGCCCUGGUCAUCUCCCUUCCCUGCCUCACUCUUGUCCCCAUCAGGUUUCCUCAAGUCCCGAGAACGCUCCAGCCACAAGCUGUACUCUCAGCUGCUGCACACGCAGAUGUUCUCACAGUUCAUCGAAGAAUGUUCUUUUGGCUCUGCUCGGCAUGCUGCCCUUGAAUUCUUUGACUCUUGUGUUGAUAAGGUAUCAAGUAUGUCCCUUCUCUAUGUGCCCAGUGGUCUCUGCUCUCCUUCUGCUUCUCUCUUGCCCACAGGCUACUGUAAACCCAAAUAUGUCUCAGCUGUGACAGGGAGGGCACCCCUGGAGUCACGAGCACACAGCGUGUGCCACUGGCUUCCUCUGCGAAGUAUCGUCCCAUUCUCAACUCUGUCCCCCAGCCGGGUCUUCAGGACUCCUUCCCUGCGGACGUGCUUUCCUGGAAGAUGCCAUAUUCCGGACGUCUGGCAUGCUCCAUGCCCACUGUCUUUUUAUUUUAUUUUUUGCGGUACUGAGGAUCGCACCUACGAGUGCUCUGCCACGGAGCUGCCUCCCCGAUUCUUUUUAUUUUUCAUUUUGAGGCAGGGUCUUACUAAGUUGCCAAGGCUGGCCUCAACUUUCAGUCCUGCCUUGGCUCCCAAGUCACUGGGGUACAAGUUGCGUAGCACCCUGCACCUGCCAUGCCUGUCGUCUGACGCUGCGUGCUCCCCUUGCUGUUCAGGUCCACCCGGAGCAGGAGAAGCCCGAGACAGCGCCCUUAGUGGAGCUGGAAGAACUCUCGGGAAGCGAGCUCACUGUCUUUAUCACCCCCCCUGAGGAGCCCCCCGCACCAGAGGGCAGUGAAUCCACUCCCCAGUACUGGUGAGAGAUUUUGUCCCCUCCUGUGUCCCAAGUGGACCCUUGGAUGGUCCACUUCAGGUGCCUGGCCCUGUAUUGAUAUCGGCUCUCUCUGCCCCUCAGCUAUGAUGGGUUCCCAGAAUUACGGGCUGAGCUAUUUGAGUCUCCUCAAGAGCAACCAGGGGCCCUGCCUGUGCCAGGCCCAUCCCGUAGCGCCCCCAGCAGUCCUGCCCCUCGCCGUACCAAACAGGUAAGCAGCUCUUGGACCCCACGGGGAACCUGGCUCAGGCCGAGGGCGGCUGCUUCGUUUCUCCGUCUGUGAAAUGAGAUGAGGCGGCGGCCUUCCCGUAGACCGUAGGGAAUUCACUGUGCCUGCCGUUGUCAUCACCAGCACCCUCCCAUCGUCACUUCUGGGAAUCCAGAGGCUGGUGGCUCUGUCCAGGGCCCCUGCCGGUGCUCAGGAGCCACAGCCUGUCGGUACAGCCACCUCCUCAGGCACAGAGCGUCCUUCAGGGGAGCGCUGCUUCUCCGACCUCCCUGGCAUCGUGUUCACCCUGUUGUGUCCUCUGCCCCACCUAGGAGAUGAAGGUGGCGCAGCGGAUGGCACAGAAGUCAGCGACGGUGCCCGAGCUGUGGGCCCGGUGCCUGCUGGGCCAUUGCUACGGGCUGUGGUUCCUGUGUCUUCCGGCCUAUGUGCGGUCAGCACCCUCCCGGGUGCGGGCGCUGCACACAGCCUACCAUGUGCUGCGUGAGAUGGAGAGCCGCAAGGUGGUGCUCCCCGAUGAGGUGGGCGCCAUUUACCAUGCGGCCACCUGCAGCCAUGGGGGCUGCGAGAGGGAAGCUUGUGGGAGUUGAAGAAAGCAGAUGGGGAGCCCCAGGGCUGGGCAGAUGCUCCUCAGCAUUCACUGUGAGCGCGGUCACAUCAGCACUCACUAAGGGGACUGCAGGGUAGCAGGGUCAGCAGAGCCGCAGGGGCCAGUGAGGAGUGCAGGAACUGAGAAGGCUGGAGGGCGGGCUGGAGGGAGGCUGCUGCCAUUCCGUGCCUCUCGGCCUAGGUGUGUUACCGGGUGCUGAUGCAGCUCUGCUCCUACUACGGGCAGCCCGUCUUGUCUGUGCGGGUCAUGCUGGAGAUGCGACGGGCAGGCAUCGUGCCCAACACCAUCACCUAUGGUUACUACAAUAAGGUACCUAGUUUGGGGUAGGACGGCUGGCAGGCUGGACCAGGUGUGCGUGGGGAGGACGUCGUUCCCUGACCCCUGCUUCCCCGUCUUGGAGACUGGGCUUGUGCAGCUCCACUGGGUCCUGGGACCAUUGUCCUCCAUCGCCGCCUCUUGUAGCCUAGGCACCAGCAAAUGGCUUUUUGGUUUUUUGUUUUCAUCUUAGCUUCUUUUAUUCCCCAUCGCAACAGCCUGACUGUAGCUCAUAGUACCGGCCGUGUGUCCGGCACUCUUCUGAAUACAUCAUACAUUUUUAAAAACUUCACAUUAUACGUUUUAAAUAACUUUAUAUUCACCAUCCCCCUGGGGUAGGAGGAUCACCCCCGUCUCAUAGAUGAGGAGAUGAGUUACAGAAAAUUCAUAACUUGCCCAAAGUACCAUAGUGGACGAGUUGGGGAGUUAGAAUAUGAGCAAAGGCAUAUUCCUGUUUCCCAGAUUCAGCCCCUUCACCAUGAUACUGAACAUCUCCUGCUUUUCAGAUGAGGAAACUUAAUGACCGAAAUCUGAAAUGAUUUCUUCAAAGCCACACAGUUUAUAAGUAGUAGAGUCUGAUUAAGAACUUCCUCCAUUACUCUGGGCUUCUCGCAGGUCCUCUCAGGAUAGUUGCUCACAAUUACCCUUGUUCCUGGCUGAGCCAUUGGUCAGGCAGUCCUAGGCAGGAUGUGUGGAGGGAAGGUGGUCCCUGGGGCUCGAGGACAGGAGGUGGGCAUCAGGCUGGGGUCAGGGUGCUGGAAGGAGGCCAUCCUGAUGGGCGCUGUACUUGGCAGGCUGUGCUGGAAAGCAAGUGGCCAUCUGGUACACCAGGUGGACGCUUGCGUUGGGCCAAGCUCCGGAAUGUUGUCCUGGGGGCUGCUCAGUUCCGUCAGCCUCUGAGAGACCGGCAGCGGCGGCAGCAGCAGCAGCAGCAGCAGCAGGUGUCAGCACACCAAGAGGCUGGCAGUUCCCAGACAGGUGGGCAGGGACUGGUGAGCAGGCUUAGGGAGGGGCAGCAGGCUCUUGGAGAGCCAGAGCUGGCUUCGCGGUCGGCAUGGGCUUUCAGAGAAUGGCUAAGCUACACUCAACUGGUAACAAAAGAGAGAAAGUUCUGCCUGUGGGGAACCCUGCCAAGCCAGGUCCCUCCGCGGAGGUCUGUUGGGGUUUCUAGCUCGCGGCCUCUAAAUCCCUUCUCUGUCCUCCAGAGUCCUAUCUGGAACGCCCUUCCCCGACCCGUCCCCUUCAGCGCCAGACGACUUGGGCUGGGCGAAGUCUGAGGGACCCGGCCUCACCCACUGGGCGCCUAGUGAAGAGUGGCAGUUUGGGCAGUGCCCGAGGAGCCCAGCCCACUGUAGAGGCCGGUGUGGCCCACAGUAAGUGCCCUGGUCUGGUCCUCCUCUUCUCUUCCCCACAGUCAGUUUUCCUAACCACUUGCAAGAAAGGAGAAGAACCAGGGCCAGAAUUCUGGAAAAGUGGGCCUGUGUGGUGGGUAACUGUGUACUCUGAGGAGUCAAAAUGUCGUGGUGGGGUCAAGUGUCAGAGUUUACACAGCCGGAAUCGUGUUACUCAAGAAGCAGGCAGCUGGAGGAGAGGCUGGCCUCCGCCUUCCCUGAUUCUUUUUUUGUCCUGCAGUGAUAGAGGCUUUAGGGGUCCUGGAGCCCCGGGGAUCACCUGUGCCCUGGCAUGAUGGAAGUCUCUCAGACCUGAGCCUGACAGGGGAGGAGCUGGCACCUGGAGGCAGUCCAGGCGGCUCAGGCUUGGCCCUGAGUGCCCAGUCCACUGAGGCCCUGGAAGGGCUGAGUGUGCGAGGGCCCAAGGCUAGUGGGCGUCAGGAUGAGGCAGCCACCCCCCGACGAGGGCUGGGUGCCCGCCUCCAGCAGCUGCUCACUCCUUCCCGCCGCUCCCCUGCUGCCCGCAUUUCCCCAUCAGAGAUGCCCCCUGACCUGCCUCCCCCUGCCCGUCGCAGCCCAAUGGAGAGUCUUCUGAGGCCCCGGGAGCGACCUGGAUCCACUGCAUCGGAGGUAGCCAGCCCCGAAGCUUCAGGAGGCCCCAGGAGGGGCCUGCAGGGUCGUUAGAGCUGGCAUCCCUGCUGGAGAGGAGCGCGGAGCCAGCUGACAGGGUUUCCUUGUGUGAUGGCAGAGCUCAGCCUCUCUGGGCAGUGAGUGGGACCUCUCAGAGUCUUCUCUCAGUAGCCUGAGCCUCCGCCGUUCCUCAGAGCGCCUCAGUGACACCCCUGGAUCCCUCCAGCCACCUUCCCUGGAAGUGAGGAUAACCGCCCCCCUGCAGUCUUCCCGGGAAAGGCAGGGUGGGGAGGAGGUCAAGGAGGGCUGGCUGGGAUUUGGAGGUGGAAGGGCCAGGAGAGGGGCACUGAAGGCUGAGCCAGGCCUACUUCCUGGGGUCUCCUUGUCCACAGAUUCUGCUCUCCAGCUGCUCCCUGUGCCGUGCCUGUGACUCACUGGUGUACGAUGAGGAAAUCAUGGCUGGUUGGGCACCUGACGACUCUAACCUCAACACAACCUGCCCCUUCUGCGCCUGCCCUUUUGUGCCCUUGCUCAGUGUUCAGACCCUUGAUUCCCGACCCAGGUGCCCAAAUCAGGGCAAGUGCCGUGGGUGGGACAGGAAGGCAGUGGUCCAAGAGCUGACCCCUUCUGCUGUCCCCUUGCAGUGCCCCCAGCCCCAACCCUGCCCCUGCUGGUGCCAGCAGCAGCAAAGACGCCCCUGUUCCUGGGGGUCCUGGCCCUGUGCUNGGAAAGAUACAGAGCUACUGAGCCUUUGCCCAGAUGAGAGGGGGGAUCUCAUCCCACCAGUGGUGGUCCCCCUUCCCUGGCGUUGCUGAAGGAGCCCAAGGCUCUCCAUGCCUUUCUACCUUAGUGUUUGUAUUUUAUUUUAAGUUAUUUAUUCUGGAGCCACAGCCCCCUUGCUAAUGAGGCUCUAAUGGAGAGUGAGAAAGAGAAGGGAAAUGGGGCACCGAGGUCUGUAGCUCCCUGAAAGCCAGGCAGUGGGAGCCAGGGGAGCCCCAGGACCCCCUGAGGAAGAACUGGUGCCUCCUGCAGUCCUGAUCUUUCCUGUCCACUCCAUCUUGGGAAGCGCCCCACCCACCCAGGGCCCUGACCUGUGCAAUAAGAAUUGUCCCCUGCAAAGUUUUGUUGUAUGUAAAUAUAGUAAAAGCUGCUUCUGUCUUUUUCCUUCUGUCUCCCUUUUCCUGGGUCUGGAUGAUAGUGGGGGAUGCUUAUGCUGCGCCUUUCUCUUUUCCACCUCUGUCCUUUGCAACCUUCAGGUAUACCCUGCUUCUCCUGGCCCCUUGGUCUGGUACUGGCCCCUUGGGGCACAGGGAGUUCUUAGAGCAGGAUGGGGGGGAAUCUGGUGCUGCUAUGGCAGUGCCAGUCUGUGUGGCACUUCCAGCCCUCCCACACAAUCACCCCCUUGUCCCUCAUCUGUACCCCACACAAAGGCUCCAUUCUCUGGGGGCCUUGAGCUCAUCUUUGCCUUAUUUCCUCUCCCCUAACUUGCCCCCCGACUUCUCCAGUACCUCCACAGAGAUGACAACCCUUUCCCCAGUAGUUGGUGUUGGCGGCCCUCACGUGUCCUGGGGGACUUGGCAUUCAGUCAUUCUCGUCCUCCCUAGUUGCUCUAUUUGCAGGCAGUAUUCUUCUGCUCAGGGUCUCAGCCUGGGGACAGCACUGGAAAGAAAGGGGCUUCUUGUGCUGUGAACAUCAGGGAGAUGGGCAUCAUUUUCUAAUCCCUUGGCCCACUCAACGCUCUCCUUUUUUUCCCUAUAUAAGAAAUAAACAGGAAACAAUUCCUAACAGAGCUGCAAAACCAUUUACCAAAGGGAGUCAGCUAACAAAACAAAUGCCUUGGGAAGGAGGGCUGCAGUAUCAAUGGGGGAAGUGACUUACAUUAAUGUUUAGUGUAAAUCCCUGGGCGAUGGAGAUCAGUGGGUGAAAAGAGAAGUACUACUUCUGAAUGCCGGGACCUUCAUGCAGAGGACCCUUCCCCAUCCUGCCUUGAUGCUUUUCCAGUCCUUAAAAGAGCUGCAAAGGAGGAAACCAAAGGGCUUAGGAAAUGCCACCAUCUGUCUUGCUAGAUGAUGAUCUCUUCAGAGGUCACCCUAGUUUCUGAUUAGACCCCACUCAUCAGAAUCGACUCCCUAUUUUGUCCCUAAGGCCUAAGGACCUUUAGUAAGGGUGGACUUGCCUGUGUGUGUGUGUGUGUGUGUGUAGUGGUGGUGAUGCCGGGGAUCAAAUUCAGGCCUCAUUCAUGCUAGGCAAGUGCCCUACCAGUGAGCUAUGCCCCUAGCUUACAGACCUGCCCUCUUACAAUUAAUUUGGGUAUAGUAUACUCAGUACUGCACUUAACUAUAGUGAGAAAAUUUUAGGGCCCAGUCCCUGCCCAAGUAGAGCAUACUAUCUUACUAGUCUAGCAUGCCCUUUGGUUCCACAGUAAGAACUCUGCCUUCCAGCUUAUGCCUCUCAUUUUUGAGAAGUUAGAUAAGAGAACUACAGAAUUUCAUAACUACAGAUUAUCGGGAAUUCCAAUAGCAACUUAUGAUACCAUAAUAUCUGAUAUCUGUCCUGUGGCCUAGGGAGCUUUCUGAGGGAAAGGAUAUGUCUAAAUUGCCUGGGUCAGUUUCUUUUUCCAGACUUCAGAGUAUAAAUCUUGUCUCUGUCACUUACUAAUCUUAUGAUGUCAGACAAGUAACUUAACUGCUAUGCCUUAUUUUUUUCUCAUCUGAAUGUGGGGAGGGGGGUCAUUUAAAGACUAAUUAUAUUAUCCAUAUGAAAUGUUAAGCACAUUCAAUAAAUGUUAGCUUCAAAAAGGCAAGUA
RNAcentral lists this long non-coding RNA (13532 nucleotides) under Marmota monax (woodchuck). The record is from RNAcentral. Lineage: Eukaryota; Metazoa; Chordata; Mammalia; Rodentia; Sciuridae.